Molecule: non-coding RNA, 66 nt
Filed under: Streptomyces sp.
Lineage: Bacteria; Bacillati; Actinomycetota; Actinomycetes; Kitasatosporales; Streptomycetaceae
Also listed under: 1 other name
Description: Fluoride sequence
Rfam family: Fluoride riboswitch aptamer (crcB RNA motif)
Source: RNAcentral
CAGCGCGUCGGUGAUGGGGCUCACCGCGAACCGCGGCAUCAUGCCGCUGACGGUCCCUGGCAGAAC